Molecule: long non-coding RNA, 819 nt
Organism: Quercus robur (English oak)
Lineage: Eukaryota; Viridiplantae; Streptophyta; Magnoliopsida; Fagales; Fagaceae
Exons: 3
Source: RefSeq, a predicted model, not a curated record
AAUAAUAGAAUCAAGUCUUCUCUAUUCGUUCUCUCAAUUCUGAAGGGCGAAUCAAGUGCUUGCACGACCAGUCAGAGGGGAUUUGUUUUGGUUGCUUCGCUCCUUCUGAGAAAAUUGCCACUACCGGAGCUCCACCUAACAAGACCGGAAAUGGCCUUGACAGAUCACUUAUUAGUGCUUGACCUUAGUAACCCUGAUCUCCGAUAGAACGAUCUCCUCAAACUCUCUAAGUCUUGGGAGUGAUUUAUCAAAUUGAGAAAUGCACCAGGGUGCUCUCCAAAUUGCAAGUUAUUCUAACGUAUAUUGCAAGUUAUGCUUUGGCUACAUUUGACCUUAGGCAAAACUCUUUUGACAUUGGAUCCCAGGGCAGAGCAGGGGAUGUGAUGCCUAUGUUGUUGAAGGUACAUAGCAAAAACAAAAAAAGGUUAUUGAAGCAGAUGCUGAAUGCAUAAAUUGAGAAGUUGUUGUUGCUUCCAAGGCAAUUGAUGAAGGACCAUGGCCAAAGAUGACUACUUAUGAAAGACAAAUGGCGUUUUUGCAUUUUGCUAAUUUGAUUGAACAACACAAUGAUGAACUUGCAGCACUUGAGACAUGGGACGUUUAAUGCAAUACUAUGUUGGCAUUCUGCUGACAUAUCAGCAUCCGCUAUAUUAGCAUUGGCAAGCACCUUUCCUCAAUCCACAAAUGGAGAAAUGAUAGAAAGGAUUUAGUCCCGUUAUGAUUAUUUUAAAUUAUAUCCUAGAGUCACUUGCUUUGUUUCUCUUUUGACAUAGUGUUUGCAAAGUUCUCAAGAGAAUACUAAAUUACUAGUGCUGGUUA